AAGUUCGGAGGGUCUCUGCGUCUCUGGGGUUUCUAUCACUGCUCCUUCCAGCCCUCAAGCGGCUACUCCGAAGAAUGACGAAGGGCCCUACUUGCGUAGAUUCGUGGGAUGAUUUUACCAAGAAGGAAAAGGGGGAAAAGAAAUCACAAUUAUUGAGGGUCCAGCCUUGGUCAGAUUCCGUGUCAGACCCUUCCAACUUGACAUUAUUGACUCUUCACAACUCUUCAUUUUGUAGUCCAGGAAGCAGGCUCCGAGAGACUGCCUAGAAAAAACAGCACCCGGAUCUGAAUUCGAGGCCGUCCCACACCCAUCCCGGUACGGUUCCCAGCAGAACUGAGCUGGAGUGGCCCUGAUGCAAAUGAACUUAGAUCCCAGCUGCUUGUGAUGGAAGCCAAUCCCAGCUUUCCCAAGCUUACAGGUUUUUUCCAGAAGAAGCCAACUUGAUCUCCCGGAACACGAAUUCAGCAGGCUCUCAUCUCAGAACUGCCUCCAAUCCAUCCCAUACCCCUUCACACUUCAGUCCUUGGUAUUUUCUCCGAUCACACCUUCCACUCCUCCUUCAUAUUUGCAAGUCUCUCCCUGCAGAAUCUGCCCCGAGGAGCAAAGGACAUUUUUCCAUGGGGAACAGAAUUUUAGAAUUUCCCUUUGUACCCGUGAGGAACAAAGCUCUGGAAUUUUUACACAGAUUUCUAUUUCCCUGUGGAAGCACUGGAAAGGAAAUGUCAUUCUCACUUUGAAGAGGAAGAGGGAUGCAGCAAGGUAAUAAACGCUUUCUAAAUA
This 780-nucleotide long non-coding RNA is filed under the name Homo sapiens (human). RNAcentral describes it as "HSALNT0145851". The record is from RNAcentral. Lineage: Eukaryota; Metazoa; Chordata; Mammalia; Primates; Hominidae.